GACGAACGCUGGCGGCGUGCUUAACACAUGCAAGUCGAACGGAAAGGCCCUGCUUUUGUGGGGUGCUCGAGUGGCGAACGGGUGAGUAACACGUGAGUAACCUGCCCUUGACUUUGGGAUAACUUCAGGAAACUGGGGCUAAUACCGGAUAGGAGCUCCUGCUGCAUGGUGGGGGUUGGAAAGUUUCGGCGGUUGGGGAUGGACUCGCGGCUUAUCAGCUUGUUGGUGGGGUAGUGGCUUACCAAGGCUUUGACGGGUAGCCGGCCUGAGAGGGUGACCGGCCACAUUGGGACUGAGAGACGGCCCAGAAGCGUACGGGAGGCAGCAGUGGGGAAUAUUGCACAAUGGGCGGAAGCCUGAUGCAGCAACGCCGCGUGCGGGAUGACGGCCUUCGGGUUGUAAACCGCUUUCGCCUGUGACGAAGCGUGAGUGACGGUAAUGGGUAAAGAAGCACCGGCUAACUACGUG
RNAcentral lists this ribosomal RNA (468 nucleotides) under uncultured bacterium. RNAcentral describes it as "partial 16S ribosomal RNA". It matches the Rfam family "Bacterial small subunit ribosomal RNA", at positions 28 to 507 of the family's 1533-position model. The record is from RNAcentral.